GGGGGGGGGCACACGGACAGAUCGGCGGAGCCGAGGAUGGAACCAGAGCUAGUCGGGGUAAAAUUGGAGGUGAGAGAAACAGACUAUAAAGGAAUUGAUGGGGAAAUUGGAGGAGAAUAGGAUGAGAGAGCUACUGUGUUGGUGUAUUAGGCACGACAUUCGCCCUACAGAGCGUGUCCUAAUGAUAUCACCUGAGUUAGUGUUUAUUACUAGUCCUGAGGUGCGUGCUAGCUCUCUGGUGAGGAUAGUACCAGCACCAUGCACCAGGCCUCCAGUUUGUCAGCCCAGUCCAACUCGUCCUGUUCCCGCUCCCCGCACUAGCCCUGAAGUGUGAACCCCUAGUCUGGCACAUCCAGUACCAGCACCACGCACUUGGCUUCCAGCACGGCAACCCAGUCCGGUAUGUCCUGUUCAUGCUCCCCGCACUAGCCCUGAGGUGCGUGUUCCCAGGCUGAUACCUCCAGUACCAGCACCACGCAUCAGGCUUCCAGUGCGUCAGCCCAGCCUCGAGUCCGGCAACAGUGUGCGGUCCAGAGUGUCCGGCAACAGUGUGCGGUCCAGAGUGUCCAGCAACAGUGUGCGGUCCAGAGUAUCCGGCAACAGUGUGCGGUCCAGAGUAUCCGGCAACAGUGUGCGGUCCAGAGUAUCCGGCAACAGUGUGCGGUCCAGAGUAUCCGGCAACAGUGUCUAGUCCGGAACAGAAGGGGUCUGCCUGUGACCCGGAACAAAAGGGGUCGGCCUGCGACCCGGGACCGAGGGGGUCGGCCUGCGACCCAGAACUGAGACAAUGACCCAAACACACCUCCAGGCUGCGUAAGGGCUAUUUGACCGAGAAGGAGAGUGAUGGAACCCUGCAUCAGAGGACCUGGCCUACACAACCACCCGACCUCAACCCAAUUGAGAUGGUUUGGGAUAAGUUGGACCGCAGAGUGAAGGAAAAGCAGCCAACAAGUGCUUAGCAUAUGUGGGAACUCCUUCAAGACUGUUGGAAAAGCAUUCCAGGUGACUACUACAUCAUGAAGCUGGUUGAGAGAAUGCAAAGCUGUCAUCAAGGCAAAGGGUGGCUACUUUGAAGAAUCUAAAAUAUAUUUUGAUUUGUUUAACACUUUUUUUUGGUUCCUACAUGAUUCCAUGUGUUAUUUCAGGUCUUCAGUAUAUAUAUUAAAACUAAAGAAAACCCUUGCACUAUUAACUGGUACUGUAUAUGAAAUCAAUAUCGAAAAAAAUACACUCUCUCUCUCUCACACACCUACCCCUAAAGUACAGUUGUAGUCGGAAGUUUACAUACACCUUAGCCAAAUACAUAUAAACUCAGUUUUUCACAAAUCCUGACAUUUAAUCCUAGUAAAAAUUCCUUGUCUUAGGUCAGUAGC
Molecule: long non-coding RNA, 1373 nt
Filed under: Salmo salar (Atlantic salmon)
Lineage: Eukaryota; Metazoa; Chordata; Actinopteri; Salmoniformes; Salmonidae
Description: lncRNA (ENSSSAG00000096559.1)
Source: RNAcentral